RNAcentral lists this ribosomal RNA (480 nucleotides) under Blastocystis sp. Its description in RNAcentral is "SSU rRNA". It matches the Rfam family "Eukaryotic small subunit ribosomal RNA", at positions 460 to 953 of the family's 1831-position model. Lineage: Eukaryota; Bigyra; Opalinata; Blastocystidae. The record is from RNAcentral.
GGAGGUAGUGACAAUAAAUCACAAUGCGGGACUAUUCGUCUUGCAAUUGGAUUGAGAACAAUGUACAACUCUUAUCGAUAAGCCAUUGGAGGGCAAGUCUGGUGCCAGCAGCCGCGGUAAUUCCAGCUCCAAUAGCGUAUAUUAACGUUGUUGCAGUUAAAAAGCUCGUAGUUGAAGUGUGGGUGAUCGCUGUUGUGAGACUUCGGUCUCUCGACAGUAAGUCACCCCCUUCCAGUAUCCAGUAGUGGGUAUUCAGUUACUUACUAUUGUGUGUUGGUCGUUUACUGUGAGAAAAUUAGAGUGUUCAAAGCAGGCGUUUGCUUGAAUAGAUUAGCAUGGAAUAAUAAUUGAAGGCUUUCGUGUUCGAUUUGAUUGGUUUGUUCAUGGAAGCAAGGUUAAAAGGAACAGUUGGGGGUAUUCAUAUUCACUAGUUAGAGGUGAAAUUCUCGGAUUUAUGGAAGAUGAACAAGUGCGAAAGCA